This 649-nucleotide small RNA is filed under the name Oryza sativa Japonica Group (Japanese rice). RNAcentral describes it as "sRNA Os08g0112450". Lineage: Eukaryota; Viridiplantae; Streptophyta; Magnoliopsida; Poales; Poaceae. The record is from RNAcentral.
AAUUAGCCUGCAGCUGACGCCGUGGUCACCGCGUCCAUGAACUCCUCGUCGGAGAGGAGCUUCUCCAGCGCGGCCGGAGCAUAGCAUCAUCAGGUAACUGAGCUCUCUGAUGGCAUGUUCAUCGCCGUGGCGUUCUUAACCGGAAAGGAGUCCAGUCCAGCCAUUGAGCGGGAAGAAGGAGCAGACCAACCGUGGAUGAAGAGCGAAGCAACGAUGCCAGGUGGCGCAGAAUGGACAAACUCCACGCCUUAGUUGUUGGAGCACAGCUAGAUGGAGAUGCUGCUUGGGCGACGCACGCAACAUCCUUCACCUCUGCCAAAGCAAGUAAAUGGAUUAUAAUGCACCAGAGCCCAAUACUAUUUGAAAUAGUGAACUGGAAUGAUUAGAUGCUAUGAUCAUUUCGCUUCAUGAAAAGAGCAGGAAUAUUAUUAGGCUUACCAGUUCUCUUCAAAUGCCUCUACUGCUUGGCUAGACCCUAAACAUAAUGUCCUCGGUUAUCUUGUUCUUUGAAUUCUUUCACAUCCUCCUGGUUCAGAAUAUCGCAGAAAUAAAUCAAAAAAAGUUGUACUAGGCAACUCAAAUACAAAUUUACAAACCACAGAUAAAUUGCUACUACCUAUGUCUCAAAAUAUAAGGUAUUUUUGGCUAU